ACAGAACAGAACUUUCCACAGUAUCCUGAUGUCAAUGCGAGUGUGUUCCCUGCAUUUUCAUUCUGGAAAACCAGCAAAUGAAAUGUACACCUCGCAUCCGGAUUGGGCACCAUCACUACACUUGGGCCACACUGAGAUAAAGGCCACACAGACUGCACGCUAUGAGAGACAGGAAAAGAGAAAACGGCAAAGGACUGACAGUACACCUGCGAGGAUGAGACAGCUAUUGAUGACCUUGUUCCGCCCGUGGAGACACCAGCACCAGCUGAGGAUGGAGCUGAGCAGACACCGCUGACAGAAUGUGACUUCUGUCAGCGCCGGCGUGCUGAAAUCAACCGGCUGCUGGAGGAGAACAGGACCCUGAAACGUCUUGCACUCUCAGCGCAUUAAUGAGACUCCCCUGAAGCCAUGGGUCAUCAUUGCUGACGAUGGGCAGGUUUGCUGUGCACACUGUACAUGCAUGGCUGGAAUUGCAGAGGCAUGUACACAUGUUGGGGCUCUGCUGUUUAAGAUUGAGGCAGCAGUCCGCAUCCGUGGGAAAAAGACUGUGACAGAUGUGCCAGCUUAUUGGAAAAUACCAGCAGGUAUCAACAAAGUCAGCGGUGAAGUCGCCCACAAGAUGGACUUCACUUCAU
Cyprinodon tularosa is the source of this 635-nucleotide long non-coding RNA. RefSeq lists it as uncharacterized. The transcript is spliced from 4 exons. Lineage: Eukaryota; Metazoa; Chordata; Actinopteri; Cyprinodontiformes; Cyprinodontidae. The record is from RefSeq and is a predicted model, not a curated record.